GAGGAGAAGCCCGGAGAUGGGCACUGAGACAAGGGCCCAGGCCCUAUGGGGCGCAGCAGGCGCGAAAACUCUGCAAUAAGCGAAAGCUUGACAGGGUUAUUCUGAGUGAUUUCCGCUAAGGAAAUCUUUUGGCACCUCUAAAAAUGGUGCAGAAUAAGGGGUGGGCAAGCCCGGUGUCAGCCGCCGCGGUAAUACCAGCACCCCGAGUGGUCGGGACGAUUAUUGGGCCUAAAGCAUCCGUAGCCGGUUCUACAAGUCUUCCGUUAAAUCCACCUGCUUAACAGAUGGGCUGCGGAGGAUACUAUGGAGCUAGGAGGCGGGAGAGGCAAGCGGUACUUAGUGGGUAGGGGUAAAAUCCGUUGAUCCAUUGAAGACCACCAGUGGCGAAGGCGGCUUGCCAGAACGCACUCGACGGUGAGGGAUGAAAGCUGGGGGAGCAAACCGGAUUAGAUACCCGGGUAGUCCCAGCUGUAAACGAUGCAGACUCGGUGAUGAAUAGGCUUCGUGCCUAUUCAGUGCCGCAGGGAAGCCGUUAAGUCUGCCGCCUGGGGAGUACGGUCGCAAGACUGAAACUUAA
RNAcentral lists this ribosomal RNA (577 nucleotides) under uncultured archaeon. Its description in RNAcentral is "bacterial SSU rRNA". It matches the Rfam family "Archaeal small subunit ribosomal RNA", at positions 280 to 859 of the family's 1478-position model. The record is from RNAcentral.